UCUCCCUUCUCCUCCUAAAGCCCUAGAAAUCACGCGAAGAAAAUGUCGAUCGAACUCUGUUCGGCGCCUCCAUCCACAACGCCAUAGUGUUAUACAAACCCAAAUCGAACGCCCCUCAUGCUUCCCCUGCUCUCCAAUUGUAACUCCCCGAAAUCUUAACCGCUCGAAGCCGUUGCCUAGGUCAAAACCAUCGCAGUCGACAUCCGACCAUCAUCUUCGUCCACAUACGCUACACUCAUCUCUAGCUUAGUACGUCUCCAUCGUCCAAAAUCGCUGUCCUCAGAACGACCUCCGAGCAACGACACACAGAAGGUGUGUUUGAGAUUGCACUUGCACCUUUCUUCUUGCUACAUAUGGAAUCAUCUUAUAAUUACAUGGAAAUUAUACAGUUAGAACAAGUGACAUUGUUCUUCAUCUUGAACUGAUUAUCAAUGUUGUUUCUGAAUUGGGAAAGUUUCUAUAAUAAUAUAGAGUAAUUUGCCUCCGGAAGUGGCGUUCAUAUAACCAAAAAAUGCUUCCUACGAACUGCAUUUCAUAAUGUGAAAUGUUUUGCUCGAAAAUCGCCGAUUUUGCUGAAAUAUGUGGUCUGCGGUGUAUGUUAAGCUUGCAGUGUAACGAUUUAUAUAGUUGUCUGCAUAUUAGUUUGUGUAGUAAUGACAUUGAAUUUGUUUUUUUGAUUUGUCGGGUAGGAUGGGAGGAUGGAAUGUUGGCAUUUGUCACAGUUGUAGAAGCACGAAGCACUCCUUUAUUGAUUGCCGAGUAAAAUGACAAUGUCCAUGGUGCGCACUCGGAUUGGAGAUGUGUUUUGAGGUUGAAAGGACGACUAGUAAUAAAGGGCGAUUAUUCAGAACCUGUAGUAGUAAGUGUGGAUAUUUUGAUUGGGUCGUC
Molecule: long non-coding RNA, 888 nt
Filed under: Olea europaea (common olive)
Lineage: Eukaryota; Viridiplantae; Streptophyta; Magnoliopsida; Lamiales; Oleaceae
Description: long non-coding RNA (OEUR_LNC009466)
Source: RNAcentral